ACGAACGCUGGCGGCGUGGCUAAGACAUGCAAGUCGAACGGACCCGUUAAUUUAUUAGCGGGUUAGUGGCGAAAGGGUGAGUAAUGGAUAGGUAACGUACCCCGAGCUCUGGGAUAGCCAUCCGAAAGGAUGGGUAAUACCGGAUAACAUCGCGGGCCGAUGGGCUCGUGAUCAAAGAUUCAUCGGCGCGGGAGCGGCCUAUCUCCUAUCAGCUAGUUGGUGAGGUAACGGCCCACCAAGGCGAAGACAGGUAGCGGGACGGAGAGGUUGGCCCGCCACAUCGGAACUGAGACACUGUCCGGACCCCCACGGGGGGCUGCAGUAACGAAUCUUGGGCAAUGGGCGAAAGCCUGACCCAGCGACGCCGCGUGCGGGAGGAAGUCCUUCGGGAUGUAAACCGCUGUCAGGGACGUGAAAGUCCACUUCGGUGGAUUGAUCUAACCCAAAGGAAGUCACGGCUAACUCUGU
RNAcentral lists this ribosomal RNA (468 nucleotides) under uncultured bacterium. RNAcentral's name for it is "bacterial SSU rRNA". It matches the Rfam family "Bacterial small subunit ribosomal RNA", at positions 29 to 506 of the family's 1533-position model. The record is from RNAcentral.